ACCAGUUAAAAUAAUUUCAUCAAAUGUAAAUGACAGAUAGAAGACUUUUGUUUCAAUUUAUGAAUAAAAACAGCAAAGAUAAAUUAAAUUAAUAGAACAAAAAGCUAGUAAUUAUAAAUAUAAACAAUAUGAGCAAUGACCAUUUUCACAAAGCAGAAUCAUUAGUUCGUUAAAACUCAUCUUAAGAUGUGCCGACUCGGGAGCAAGCAACAUACUAUAAUUGGCCGUGUGAAAAACACGAAUUCUCCAAAUUUAAAUCGGCGAUAGUCAACGACUGACCUUGAGCUUUGUUGCUAGUUUUUGCAAAAGCAAGACGCAAAGGGAAUUGGAGCCGCUUAAACUCGAACGGUAAAUCGUUGGAAAUCAUCGGUAUUCCUGGAAUCAGUACGCCUUUGAAUUUACGGUUGCAGAAUUUAGUUGCGUUUAAAUUGGGAAUGAACAUUAAGGGUGAUCCAAUUUUCAAUUUUAGUGUGUGUGGCGGUAUUCCAGGUGGCCCUAAUGAGUUUAAAAACUUAACUGGAUAAUUAACAGCUUGUUCUUCGUCCAUUACCGUGCCGAUUGACUUAUAGUUGAUUUCUUCGCCGGGAAGUUUCAAUUGAAUUUGAUCAUUGAGUUUGUUAAAGUUUUGGUGCUAAAAUUUUGCGUUCAUAAAGUCAAUUUGAUUUUUGUAAUUAAUUGUUAAAUUUGGAAAUACUUUGUCGAAAAAAGCUUGAAUAUGUUGCAUGUGACAAAAAUCCUGUGAAAAGAAAUCUCGUUUGUGGCAGGAUCAAUUAGAAUUUUGCCCUUCUCUAUGUCUAAAAGUUGUUGCGAAAA
Molecule: long non-coding RNA, 813 nt
Organism: Bactrocera oleae (olive fruit fly)
Lineage: Eukaryota; Metazoa; Arthropoda; Insecta; Diptera; Tephritidae
Source: RefSeq, a predicted model, not a curated record